Molecule: ribosomal RNA, 496 nt
Filed under: uncultured bacterium
Lineage: Bacteria
Description: partial 16S ribosomal RNA
Rfam family: Bacterial small subunit ribosomal RNA
Source: RNAcentral
GAUGAACGCUGGCGGCGUGCCUAAUACAUGCAAGUCGAGCGAACAGACGAGGAGCUUGCUCCUCUGACGUUAGCGGCGGACGGGUGAGUAACACGUGGAUAACCUACCUAUAAGACUGGGAUAACUUCGGGAAACCGGAGCUAAUACCGGAUAACAUGUUGAACCGCAUGGUUCAACAGUGAAAGACGGUCUUGCUGUCACUUAUAGAUGGAUCCGCGCCGCAUUAGCUAGUUGGUAAGGUAACGGCUUACCAAGGCAACGAUGCGUAGCCGACCUGAGAGGGUGGUCGGCCACACUGGAACUGAGACACGGUCCAGACUCCUACGGGAGGCAGCAGUAGGGAAUCUUCCGCAAUGGGCGAAAGCCUGACGGAGCAACGCCGCGUGAGUGAAGAAGGUCUUCGGAUCGUAAAACUCUGUUAUUAGGGAAGAACAAAUGUGUAAGUAACUAUGCACGUCUUGACGGUACCUAAUCAGAAAGCCACGGCUAACUACGU